GGAUUAGAUACCCUGGUAGUCCACGCAGUAAACGAUGAGUGCUAGUCGCUGGUACAAUAGUAUCAGUGUCGUAGCUAACGCAUUAAGCACUCCGCCUGGGAAGUACGGUCGCAAGAUUAAAACUCAAAUAAAUUGACGGGGGCCCGCACAAGCGGUGGAGCAUGUGGUUUAAUUCGAAGCAACGCGAAGAACCUUACCAGACCUUGACAUGGUAUGUUUGAAUUACAGAAUCGUAAUUCUUCAGUUCGGCUGGCAUACACACAGGUGCUGCAUGGCUGUCGUCAGCUCGUGCCG
Molecule: ribosomal RNA, 294 nt
Filed under: uncultured bacterium
Lineage: Bacteria
Description: partial 16S ribosomal RNA
Rfam family: Bacterial small subunit ribosomal RNA
Source: RNAcentral